CAAGUCGUGGGGCAGCAGGGGUAGCAAUACCCGCUGGCGACCGGCAAACGGGUGCGGAACACGUACACAACCUUCCUUAAAGUGGGGAAUAGCCCAGGGAAACUUGGAUUAAUACCCCGUAAUAUUAUUAGAUGGCAUCAUUUGAUAAUUAUAGCUCCGGCGCUUAAAGAUGGGUGUGCGGCUGAUUAGGUAGUUGGCGGGGUAACGGCCCACCAAGCCUACGAUCAGUAACUGGUGUGAGAGCACGACCAGUCACACGGGCACUGAGACACGGGCCCGACUCCUACGGGAGGCAGCAGUAAGGAAUAUUGGUCAAUGGACGCAAGUCUGAACCAGCCAUGCCGCGUGGAGGAUGAAGGUCCUCUGGAUUGUAAACUUCUUUUAUCUGGGAAGAAACCCAAGGUUUCUACUUUGGUUGACGGUACCAGAUGAAUAAGCACCGGCUAACUCCGUGCCAGCAGCCGCGGUAAUACGGAGGGUGCAAGCGUUAUCCGGAUUCACUGGGUUUAAAGGGUGCGUAGGUGGGCUAGUAAGUCAGUGGUGAAAUCUCCGGGCUUAACCCGGAAACUGCCAUUGAUACUAUUAGUCUUGAAUGUCGUGGAGGUAAGCGGAAUAUGUCAUGUAGCGGUGAAAUGCUUAGAUAUGACAUAGAACACCGAUAGCGUAGGCAGCUUGCUACACGAAUAUUGACACUGAGGCACGAAAGCGUGGGGAUCAAACAGGAUUAGAUACCCUGGUAGUCCACGCCCUAAACGAUGGAUACUCGACAUCAGCGAUACACUGUUGGUGUCUGAGCGAAAGCAUUAAGUAUCCCACCUGGGAAGUACGACCGCAAGGUUGAAACUCAAAGGAAUUGACGGGGGUCC
This 866-nucleotide ribosomal RNA is filed under the name uncultured Flavobacteriia bacterium. Its description in RNAcentral is "bacterial SSU rRNA". It matches the Rfam family "Bacterial small subunit ribosomal RNA", at positions 58 to 922 of the family's 1533-position model. The record is from RNAcentral. Lineage: Bacteria; Pseudomonadati; Bacteroidota; Flavobacteriia.